UUUAAGUGCAACUAUGAGUUUUCACGCCCAACUUUAAUUGUCUGUCUUAUUUGAAAAUUUUUUAUAAUUAGUAUUUUUAUUGUUAUGGGAUGAUAAAGCAUGAAUAAUACUUUACUCGUGACUUAUGUUUUUAUUUUUUAAAAAAAAUUAAAUAAGAUAGACGAUCAAAGUUAGACACGUAAAACCAUAGCUGCACUUAAG
Non-coding RNA from Oryza barthii, 201 nucleotides. The record is from Rfam. NCBI's taxonomy places the organism in Eukaryota, Viridiplantae, Streptophyta, Magnoliopsida, Poales, Poaceae.